RNAcentral lists this ribosomal RNA (475 nucleotides) under Necrosciinae sp. 7 SB-2021. Its description in RNAcentral is "partial large subunit ribosomal RNA". The record is from RNAcentral. Lineage: Eukaryota; Metazoa; Arthropoda; Insecta; Phasmatodea; Lonchodidae.
UGGAUUCAAGUCCUACCGCGCGCUCGGUACGCCGCUGCCAGAUGGCGCCGGUCGCCCGCGGCGAUUCACUUCGCUUGCGGUGUCGUUCCCGGCGAUCACUCGGUCCACGCGGCGUUCUCACCGGCGCCGGAGGAGUGCACUUCCUCCCUAGUAGAAACGUCGCGACCCGUUGGGUGCCGGUCCAAGGCCCGGGGUGGCAGCCCGUGCGUCCCGUGGGGGUUCCUCCACGGGCGCGCGGACCCCCGGUGACCCGGCCGGCUGCCCGACGGUACGACCAGAGGAGUCGAUCCGCCGCCUGGGAAACACUUUGGCUUGUGUGGCGUCCGGCCCGGCGACGACGCGUGUGGGGAUUGAGGUGCAAACCGGGGGUGCCCGUGCGAAGCACGGCCCCGGCCCCACUGCGCGUUCGGACGUCGGUGUCCUCGGACCGGAUCAGCACUCCCGUCUGCGACGCCCACCUUCGGAUGGUCUCCCG